This 331-nucleotide ribosomal RNA is filed under the name uncultured bacterium. RNAcentral's name for it is "bacterial SSU rRNA". It matches the Rfam family "Bacterial small subunit ribosomal RNA", at positions 568 to 897 of the family's 1533-position model. The record is from RNAcentral.
UGCGUAGGCGGCUUUUAAAGUUAGAAGUGUAAUACCUGGGCUUAACUUAGGUGCUACUUCUAAAACUUAAGAGCUUGAGUGUGGGAGAGGUAAGUGGAAUUCCUAGUGUAGCGGUGGAAUGCGUAGAUAUUAGGAGGAACACCAGUGGCGAAGGCGACUUACUGGACCAUAACUGACGCUGAGGCACGAAAGCGUGGGGAGCAAACAGGAUUAGAUACCCUGGUAGUCCACGCCUUAAACGAUGGAUACUAGGUGUAGGGGGGUAUCGACUCCCCCUGUGCCGACGUUAACACAAUAAGUAUCCCGCCUGGGGAGUACGGCCGCAGGUUGA